This 420-nucleotide ribosomal RNA is filed under the name bacterium. Its description in RNAcentral is "partial 16S ribosomal RNA". It matches the Rfam family "Bacterial small subunit ribosomal RNA", at positions 355 to 776 of the family's 1533-position model. The record is from RNAcentral.
UGGGGGAUAUUGCACAAUGGGCGAAAGCCUGAUGCAGCGACGCCGCGUGGGGGAUGAAGGCUUUCGGGUUGUAAACCUCUUUCGCUAACGAACAAGGCCCGCUUAGGGUGGGUUGAGGGUAGGUGGAGAAGAAGCGCCGGCUAACUACGUGCCAGCAGCCGCGGUAAUACGUAGGGCGCGAGCGUUGUCCGGAAUUAUUGGGCGUAAAGGGCUUGUAGGCGGCUUGUUGCGCCUGCUGUGAAAACGCGGGGCUUAACUUCGCGCGUGCAGUGGGUACGGGCAGGCUUGAGUGUGGUAGGGGUGACUGGAAUUCCAGGUGUAGCGGUGGAAUGCGCAGAUAUCUGGAGGAACACCGAUGGCGAAGGCAGGUCACUGGGCCAUUACUGACGCUGAGGAGCGAAAGCAUGGGUAGCGAGCAGG